CAGUCGCCGCGGUAAUACGUAGGGUGCAAGCGUUAAUCGGAAUUACUGGGCGUAAAGCGUGCGCAGGCGGUUAUAUAAGUCAGAUGUGAAAUCCCCGGGCUCAACCUGGGAACUGCAUUUGAGACUGUAUGGCUAGAGUGUGUCAGAGGGGGGUAGAAUUCCACGUGUAGCAGUGAAACGCGUAGAUAUGUGGAGGAAUACCGAUGGCGAAGGCAGCCCCCUGGGAUAACACUGACGCUCAUGCACGAAAGCGCGGGGAGCAAACAGGAUUAGAUACCCCAGUAGUCCCUGUCUCUUAUAC
Molecule: ribosomal RNA, 301 nt
Filed under: uncultured bacterium
Lineage: Bacteria
Description: partial 16S ribosomal RNA
Rfam family: Bacterial small subunit ribosomal RNA
Source: RNAcentral